ACAUUUUUUCAUUUUUUUUUUACAUGUUCAGAAACACUAUGUGCCAUUAUCCUCUGAGAUAAACAGAGAAUGUUGACAAAUAGAGAGAUGUAUUUGUGGGUUUAGGUGUGUGUUCCUCUCUAUGCUAUCAUUAAAAGCUUAGCUGGAGAUUCUAUGGCUUCCAUAAAUUGUUCCAUGGUCUACUUUCCUGCAAACAAUGUGCUGCUUAUUUUAUUGAAAUGAGCGCUUUUCAUUUAUACAGGGCACAAACCAAUACCACCCCCAGGCUUGGAUUUGGAUUCUAGUGGGGGGCUGUUUGGGUUUCUGUGUACCUGAAUCCCAGUCCAGGCCUGCACACCCCCAAACAGAAUAGGCUGGUUAACUAGGAAUCAGUCCAUAUUAUGUGUCAUUGAAUAAUAUAUAAAGUGGGGCACAAAAACAAUAACAGUAGGUAGGCCAGCCGGGGGUCCCCAUACAGGGGCAGAUAAACUGCCAAACUAGUGUGAAGGACCCAAAUCAGCAGCUGAAUCUGCCCAUGUAUGGCUACCACCUUAAAUUCAUCAUGUACAGGUAUGACAAAUAAAUAUAUAAAGGAAACCUCAGGGCCACUACAAUACAAGGAAAAAUACACUGAGCCAGAAAGAAGAUACAUGACUCCCAUCGGUCCUGCCCCAGCAGAGCUUACAAUCUAGAGACCUGUGUGAUAUUUCAGAGCUACAGAGAUGUUGACAAGCAGCACCAAUAAGUCCCUGGAAAUCAACCCUAUAUUUUACUAAGGCUGAGAAGAGGCAAUUUGUGUCCACGUAAACUACAACUCCCAGCAUGCCCUGACAGAUACUGCUCUCUGGUGGUGCAGGCAGGGUUAGUCAGGAAAGCUGCAGCACAUUAAGAUAUUAGGCACUAAUAAUAGCGUAAAAGUGAUAGUGGCUAAGCACAGACAGAGCUCCUUUCCAGAUCAGCCUAACAACCAGUUCAAAGGCUCCAGGAAACACCAAGUCAUCACUGGCUAUUGCCCAGCGCCUGGCGAACAUCAGCAUGCCCGGCAUCCUGCUCGUUUGUGUGUGGGUCUCUCCUGUCAACUAGUCGCUGCGGCUGCAUCGGAAUCGCAACACAUCGCGUUCCCUCUCUGUCACUGAGACAGCGCUAUGUUCCAUCAAGGGGGCUGCGACUUGUGAUUUUGCAUAGAGCGCAGUUCCUGCUGGCAGCCGUGACAUCAUCGCCCAUGUGACUUCUCUGUGAGCCGGAAGUGAGGCGCUUGUGGAACGCUGCGUUCCAACAGUUUACAGUGUUACAGAGAAGCGGAAAUACUAACUCUGUGGCCCUUAUACCCACCGCUGUGGUAGUUAUAAUGGCCUGGGCCCAGUUUGCUGCUGGGGAAGCACAUCACAUAAGGCAUAACCUAUAGUAUAAGGUACCAUGGUUUUGGUAUGAUUAAUGGGUGCAACAUUUACCUGAGAACAUUUAUCCGCUCUCCGUUCCAGACUCAGGAAGGGACAGGCACCUGUAGGUUAAAGCAGUGGAAGAGACGUGUACGGAAACAUUUGCUCUCUGGUCUGCUGUAAAUCCAGCUUUUCAGCCGGAAGAUUUAAAGUAGAACCGAACCCAUGCUUUAACAAUAAGGCACAAUCUCCAUGCUUUGUCUCCAAUCACACCAAGCAUGUGCAAGGGAUGCAAGGAACAGACUCCAGGCUUUUUGUCUG
This is a long non-coding RNA of Xenopus tropicalis (tropical clawed frog), 1679 nucleotides long. RefSeq lists it as uncharacterized. The transcript is spliced from 3 exons. NCBI's taxonomy places the organism in Eukaryota, Metazoa, Chordata, Amphibia, Anura, Pipidae. The record is from RefSeq and is a predicted model, not a curated record.